Long non-coding RNA from Amphimedon queenslandica, 250 nucleotides. RefSeq lists it as uncharacterized. The transcript is spliced from 3 exons. The record is from RefSeq and is a predicted model, not a curated record. Lineage: Eukaryota; Metazoa; Porifera; Demospongiae; Haplosclerida; Niphatidae.
CACAGACAACUGGGCAAAAUUAAUUAAUUUAAAACAUUGGCCUGCUGAUUGUAUUCUGAAUUUUUAAUUCUCUUUCUUUUUGCAGGAUCCACUGCCUCUUGCUCCCAAUGAUGAAACUGAGGCAACACCUGAUUCCCAGUUAGCAACACACCAGUAUGCCGAUUUAGAUGAAAUAAGAUCAAGGAAGGGACAUGCUCCUCCACCCACUGUUCUUGAUGAUGUUAAGUAUAUUCACAAUAAAAUUAAUAUA